Molecule: non-coding RNA, 72 nt
Organism: Planoprotostelium fungivorum
Lineage: Eukaryota; Evosea; Variosea; Cavosteliida; Cavosteliaceae
Source: the annotation of a GenBank genome assembly
GCCUCUAUGGCUCAAUGGAACAGCGCUUGGCUACGAACCAAGAGAUUCUGGGUUCGAUCCCCAGUAGAGGCU